CUGUCAUCACAGUCGAAGUGUCUCUCUCUCUCAGUGCCACGCAAAUCUCCAAAGCCGUCUGCCUUACGCCUCCUCCUCAGAUUAACCAUACGCUUUGAUGGCGGGAAUACGGUUGCAACCGGAAGAAGCCGACCUCACGCAGCACCAAACCCGAGCUGCCACUGGUGAUCUGGUUUCGGAUGACGAGAGGUCUGUGGCUGCCGAUUCCUGGUCCAUAAAGAGUGACUACGGAAGUACUCUCGACGACGAUCAACGCCAUGCUGAUGCUGCCGAAGCUCUAUCCUCCGCCAACUUCCGUGCCGCUUCUGAUUACAACUCUGACAAGGAGGAAGCAGAUGGUGAAGGGGUG
Molecule: unclassified non-coding RNA, 349 nt
Filed under: Hevea brasiliensis (rubber tree)
Lineage: Eukaryota; Viridiplantae; Streptophyta; Magnoliopsida; Malpighiales; Euphorbiaceae
Source: RNAcentral